AAGGAGGCUCAAGGUCCCGAAGAGCCUUGAGUUCUCGGAUCUCUUGCUCGAGCUGCUGCCGUAAAUUCAGUUGAAGCUUUUCAUCAUGCUCCAUCUUACGGAUCGUCUUGGUCAAGAUUUUGGCGUUGGACUUCAACUCCUUGAUCUUAUUCAUCCUCAGUUCACUCCUCUGAACUAAGUCGACAUUCAUGUUGACAAUUUCAGCAUGCUGAGCCUUAGUCGACUUUAGUUCUUCCUUGGAGGCCUUCACUUCUUCCUUAGCUUGGGCCAACUCUUUCUGAAGACCUUCGUUAGUAUGAA
Molecule: long non-coding RNA, 300 nt
Filed under: Panax ginseng (ginseng)
Lineage: Eukaryota; Viridiplantae; Streptophyta; Magnoliopsida; Apiales; Araliaceae
Description: long non-coding RNA (PGIN_LNC016652)
Source: RNAcentral